CCUAUGGGACAAAACCGUGAGGCUCAGGAUGGGGUGGGCCAAAGUAGAUAAUUCCUCUAGUGGUUGAAGCAAAUGGCGUUACAGAUGGUAUCAGAGUCGGACCCCCUCCAGUAUAUGUGUAGUUCGAGGACGAACCAGGCUGAAGCUGAUGGGCCUGUAACAUGCAGUAUGAAAAGGGAAGGUCUUGGCUGGAGCUAUCCUCUGGGAGGGCAAUGUUAACUGGUGCCCUUAUCCAAAUGGGAGGCAUGAAUGAAUGGAAUCAUACAUUGAAAUUGGGGAAACUAAUCACUAGAGGCGCCUUUU
This 303-nucleotide unclassified non-coding RNA is filed under the name Hevea brasiliensis (rubber tree). Lineage: Eukaryota; Viridiplantae; Streptophyta; Magnoliopsida; Malpighiales; Euphorbiaceae. The record is from RNAcentral.